ACUCAAAUGAAUUGACGGGGGCCCGCACAAGCGGUGGAGCAUGUUGUUUAAUACGUUACUAACCGUAGAACCUUACCAGGGUUUGACAUCUGCUGACCGUCCGAGAGAUCGGAUUUUCCCCGCAAGGGGACAGCAAGACAGGUGUUGCAUGGCUGUCGUCAGCUCGUGUCGUGAGAUGUUGGGUUAAGUCCCGCAACGAGCGCAACCCUCACCCCAUGUUGCCAGCGAGUGAAGUCGGGAACUCUUGGGGAACUGCCUGUGUAAGCAGGAGGAAGGUGGGGAUGAUGUCAAGUCAGCAUGGCCCUUACAUCCUGGGCUACAAACAUGCUACAAUGGACGGUAGACAAAGGGAACCGAGGCCGCAAGGCGGAGGCAAUCUCAAAAAUCCGUUCCCAGUUCAGAUCGCAGGCUGCAACUCGCCUGCGUGAAGUCGGAAUCGCUAGUAACCGCCGAUCAGCCAAGCGGCGGUGAAUACGUUCCCGGGCCUUGUACACACCGCCCGU
RNAcentral lists this ribosomal RNA (503 nucleotides) under uncultured bacterium. RNAcentral's name for it is "partial 16S ribosomal RNA". It matches the Rfam family "Bacterial small subunit ribosomal RNA", at positions 899 to 1397 of the family's 1533-position model. The record is from RNAcentral.